RNAcentral lists this ribosomal RNA (483 nucleotides) under uncultured bacterium. RNAcentral's name for it is "partial 16S ribosomal RNA". It matches the Rfam family "Bacterial small subunit ribosomal RNA", at positions 30 to 507 of the family's 1533-position model. The record is from RNAcentral.
UUGAACGCUGGCGGCAGGCCUAACACAUGCCAGUCGAGCGGUAGAGAGAAGCUUGCUUCUCUUGAGAGCGGCGGACGGGUGAGUAAUGCCUAGGAAUCUGCCUGGUAGUGGGGGAUAACGUUCGGAAACGGACGCUAAUACCGCAUACGUCCUACGGGAGAAAGCAGGGGACCUUCGGGCCUUGCGCUAUCAGAUGAGCCUAGGUCGGAUUAGCUAGUUGGUGGGGUAAUGGCUCACCAAGGCGACGAUCCGUAACUGGUCUGAGAGGAUGAUCAGUCACACUGGAACUGAGACACGGUCCAGACUCCUACGGGAGGCAGCAGUGGGGAAUAUUGGACAAUGGGCGAAAGCCUGAUCCAGCCAUGCCGCGUGUGUGAAGAAGGUCUUCGGAUUGUAAAGCACUUUAAGUUGGGAGGAAGGGCAGUAAAUUAAUACGUUGCUGUUUUGACGUUACCGACAGAAUAAGCACCGGCUAACUCUGUG